GGAAACAUACGAGGUAAUGGAGAAAUUGUUAAAAUUCAUCAAAUAUGAAGAGCAUGAUUGGAAAAUAUGUGCCGAACUUAAAGUCGUUGGAAUGUUAUGCGGUCUACAAAGUGGCAACACAAAACACUGCUGAUUUCUCUGCAAAUGGGAUAGCCGAGCUCGUAAAGACCACUAUUGCAUUAAGGAUUGGCCGGAAAGAGUUGAAUUUACAAUUGGUGUGGAUAAUAUCAAAUACGUCCCACUUGUAAAGAAGGAAAAAAUCAUUCUUCCGCCAUUGCACAUCAAGCUCGGCCAGAUUAAAAAUUUUGUUAAAGCGUUAGAGAAGGCAAAGCAUUCAAUUAUUUGCAAAAUUUUUUCCCAAAUAUUUCCCAGGCCAAGAUAAAAGAAGGUAUAUUUGAUGGACCUCAAAUAAAAAAGUUGAUAAAUAAUGACCAAUUCAAAGGACUAUUGUCACCAGUUGAGGCAGCAGCGUGGGAUCCCUUCGAAAUGGUCGUUUCUUCUUUUCUCGGUAAACACAAAAGUCCAAACUACGAGAAGAUAGUGCGUGACCUAAUCAAAAAUUAUGCAGAAAUGGGCGUAAAUAUGUCUUUAAAAAUUCAUUUUCUGCAUUCCCAUUUAAGUUUUUUUCCGGCAAAUCUCGGAGACGAAAGUGACGAGCAUGGCAAAUGAAAUUAAUUGAGAAUCGAUACCAAGGUUUCUGGGACGUCGGUAUGAUGGGUGACUACUGUUAGUUUCUCCUAAGAGAAACCGAUCCUAAACUAAAUAAACGACAUAACAAAACACAUAAUCAUUUCGACUAUAAUGUAAGAACAUCAACUUAAGACAAAAAUAACACAUUGUUUUAAUAAAUAUUACUAAUAUAUAAAUAAAUGAGUUUAUAAAAACUAAAAACGACAUGAAAAUUGACUUUUUACUUAACAGAAACAGCGCAUAGCUAGAUAUCCCACCCCUACUUUACACACUACAUACGCAUAUAACUAUAUGCUGACGACCUGUACGUAAAUGACACGUACAGUACGUAAAUUUGGAACCAUGUACCGUGUACCGAAGCUUUAGCGAAAAUCACGAAAAUGUACGUAAAUUGAAACGGAGAAUAUUGAUGUACGUAAUUUGCGUUAAAACAACAAAAAAUUUCUAUACAAUUGUGUCCCACCCGUGACGAUGGAAUGAAUACCCCUAAUGCAAAUUAAAUAUAUUCACCCAGCUUUAACUAUGUUAAACUCGCCAUUAUGGCAACGCCGUUUGUGGAAUGCUUUUAUUGUAUUUGUUCGUGUUAAAGAGAAAUUACAUGUGGUAAAGCUCUUCUUAUUUACAUUUAUUCAUGUAUUUUCUACCAACAAUUUGUGGAACUUAUGCUGACAGGUGAUAUUGGGGAAGCGACGCUAUUGUGUGUGUACGUUGUAUUAUUUUUUUUAAAUGUUGCGAAAACGUGGCAAAAAUAUAUUUAACGAAAAAUUGCGCGAAGAAUUUUCGUUUAUUAAGAAAGCGAAGAUCGAAGGUGAUGUCCUUUGCGAAGUGUGCAACACGGGUUUUAGUAUUAUGCAUAGUGGUCGCCGAGAUAUUGAGUCGCAUAUUAAAUCAAAAAAUCACCAAAAUGCAUUGCACGCUGCCACGUCCAGCCACACACUGAAUAGAUAUUUAAAAAGUUCAACUUUGACCGGAACAGAUGCCCAUAUCGCGGCGUAUGUAGGCGUUUGGGCAUUUCAUGUGAUAAGUUCUAAUCACAGUUUUCGCUCGGCCGAUUGCGCUUCCAAAAUCAUUCGGAGUUGUUUCGCAAUGUCCAAAUUUUCUUGUGCGCGAACGAAAUGCGAAGCCAUCGCAACCGGAGUGUUCGCACCGUUCGUAUUGCAAGAGCUUCGGAAAGACUUAAAUGACUGUCAUUUCUUCACUAUAUUGACGGACGCCUCUAAUCAUGGCAGCACAAAAAUGUUUCCGAUAUUAGUUCUUUUCGGAAAAGGAUGGCGUCAAAGUGAAAAUUAUAGACUUGGUAGAUGCACAUGGAGAAAGUUCCGAAAUAAUUGUAAAUUUGCUGAAUAGUGCUAUGAACAAAUUGAACAUAAAUAAGAAACUAGUUGCGUUUUGUGGAGAUAACGCGGCGUGUAAUUUUGGCAACGUUAAUCGAACCGGCACAAAUAAUGUGUUCUACAAACUGAAGCAGCUUUAUCCUGGAUUGAUUGGCGUUGGAUGUGCAGCGCAUAUUGUUCACAAUACUUUAAAAAAAGCUUGCGACAAAAUGCCUUUUGAUGUGGAGAUCAUUGUAGUCAAAAUUUAUUCACAUUUCUAUUUGUUCACCGUGCGUGUCGCAAAAUUUAAAAAAUUUUGUGAAACCGUGGAUGUGGAAUAUAAAAAACUGAUAGGUUACAGCAAAACUCGUUUCCUAGGCUUGUUGUCAUCAGUCGACUCAAUAUUAAGAAUUUUUGAUGGUCUUAAGGAGUAUUUUUUGGGAGAUCGCAACACCCCAAAUUCUUUGCUACUAUUUUUUGAAGAUCCAAGGGCUAAGAUGUGGCUGCUUUUCCUUCGUGAUCAAGUAAGUAUCGGUUAAUGGGAAUGAAAUGUGUCAGGCACCAAUAACUUUCUUUUUAAUUUCUUAUGUAGGCAUCUAUUUUUAACAGAACAGUAAAAGCAGUGGAAAGCGACAAUAUUAAUGCAAUGGAAGUUAGGCAUGCACUCAAUUCUUUUGUCCAAUCGCUCGAAUCUCGGAAAAAAGAAGCAUUUUUAUCCGCUACAGUGCAAAAGGAAAUGGAACAUAUUUCUGCUGUUGACGAAAGAGUGUCAAAAGAAGAGAUGCAAGAUCUCUCACGUCAAUUCUAUGAAUCAUGUAUAAAAUAUAUUGAUAAGUGGAAAGAACAAUUUGACCAUUUUAUGAUUUUUGCCUAGUGUGCGCUUGAUCAACCACCGCAAUGGAAGUUUAUCGAAACCACCGCGAAGUACAUCGCAACCAAUAUCCAUUUUGAUCUGGAAUCAUCCGAUACUGAUUUAUUCGAUCAGUUCACGUAUUUGGAAAGAUACGUAACCGAAGAGAAAAUCCAAUCGUGGGAAGAAAAUGGCACUGCCACCGAUCAACGCUGGGUUGAAAUUUUUCAACAUUUCGUCAAAAAGAAGGUUCCAUACAACCAAAUGGUCAGAAUCACAUAUUCUCUCCUUGCCAGGCACAUCAGCCACCGUUGAACGAGUAUUUUCUCUGAUCAAUCAGAUUUGGAACGAUGAAAAAUCACAAAUAAAGAUCGAAACAUUGCGAGAUCUUUUAUAUGUUCGAUACAACAUUAAAAUGACUUGUAAGGAAUUUUUUGAAUUUUUAAAAAUGCAACCUAAAAUGUUGAAGGAAAUUGCAUCAAAUGAAAAAUACGCAUUCAAAAAUGCCAAUCAGAUCGACGAAAACAAAAAUAAGUAUGCUGAAAUUUGUAUGCAAAAAACGAGUUUGGAUAUCGAAAAAUAAACUGCUUUCUCCAUAACUUGACCAUAAAUUGAAAUCAAAUUAAAUUAAAUUGCAUUUGCAAGCACCGUUUUUUUUCAUUAAUUAAAAACUGAACAUAAUAUAAACUUAUAGUAAUCUAACUAUGAUUAUAGAAAGAGGCAAGAAAAAAAAAUUUUUGUGUACGUAAAUGAGAUCUUGAAAAGGUGGUCACCCUACGCAUAUACGUAUACAUUGACUUUGCGCGACUUGGAUAUAUUUAUUUGAUCAUGUACAACUUUCCUAUUUAUCCAUGGAUUUUGUUCGUUGGUAGCUUAGUUUUUUAUAAAGAAACAGGACUUCAUAUAAAAAAAAAAAAUUUAAAUAUCUUUUGUUUUAAAAUUUUUCCCAAAAACUUAGUUGUAUAAUCAGCGAAUUGAGAUUUGUUCAAGUGAAUUUUUAAAUUAGAAGCGCGUAAAGUGUUGAAGAUUUUUUAAUAGAUAAUAUAAUAUGUUCAUCAGAGCUGGUGGAAAAUAUUAAUAUGUCAUCUAAGUAGACAAUUCAAAUCUUGUUUAUAUGGUCACUUAAAACAUAAUUAAUAAGCCUCUGAAAUGUUGCAGGUGCUGUUUUGAGACCAAAAGGUAUUCUCGUAAAUUCGAAAUGACCAUCAGCUGUUGAAAACGCCGUCUUUGCUCUAUCAUUAGGGUGUACCUCAAUCUGGUGAAAGCCUUUCGACUAUUACUGGGUACGAUUAUUUCUUGCGCUAACCUUUCUUUUAUCUGUCGAUCUACCUCCGCGCGAUGUACCACCGGAUAUUUAUAAAAUCUCUUCUCCUUCAUUAAAUUAAAUAGGCAUUGUUGUAUCGUCUGUUAAUUGUUUUUUUUUUUAUAAUCAAUUAUUGAAUUUAAAUCUAAUAAAAUAUUAUUCCCUAUGAUACCGUCGAAAUAGUUGUGAAAUGGAUAUUCUAUAAAAUUCACAAAAUAGUUAUUUUUAUUAAAUUCCUUAAAAAGUGGAAAACUAUACUGGUUUCUUGUUAAAAUAUUUCUGCCUAAUACUUUUAAUGAUCGUAUAUGAUCGUACAAACGUAAUGCAUACCUAAGAAUUUAUUAUACCAACUUUCAUUCCCGUGUCUACAAUAAAUCUAAGUUUCCUUAUAUGUGUAUUGACAAUUAUAUAGGGUAAAAUUUAAAAUCAACGGGAAAAGAUUUGAAGAAUUUCCAUUACCGUCAUAUGGCGGAAUACUACUAAGAUUACUUAAUAUAAGCUUAAAUUUAGCAUUAAUAUGUAAGUUUUUCAUUUUAAUUGUUGAUUUGUUAAACAAUCAAAGGUAUCGUGCGUGUGCGGUGUUGUUGCAAUAUUUCAAUUACAGCAGCUGUUAAUAGAUGUUGAACGAAUGCGAUUUGUUGUUGUUGUUGAAAAAUUGUUUUUAUAAAUACCUGUUCAAUGAACCUUACUGACUUCCUGCACUGGUUUUACAAUCCAAAGUCACGUUUUGUCUUAAGUACAAUGAAGAUGUUGCUGUUUUUUCCCUUGAAAGCUCGACGAAGGAGUUACUGUUGCUUGCUUUUUUUUAGGUGAUCUUCCUGUCAUUCACCCAGGAAAAAUUGUUGUUAUUCUUUUUUGAAGGUGACCUUCUUGUCACUCACCCUGGAUCAAAUUUUGUUGUUUUCUAAAGCACGGCGAAGAAGAUGUUGCGUUUUUCCCAAAGCUCGAUAAAGCUUUAAAUCACGGUAAUUGAACCGGAAAAAGUCCGAAGAUGUUGUUUUUUUUUUAAGCCGACGAAGUAUUUGUAGUUGUAUGCACAAUUGGCCUUCAAAUGACCUUAUAGGCAGUUGCAAAAAAUGUUUAUAAUUUAUAAUAGAUUAUUAACUUUUUCGUGAAAAAUCAUCACACUUCUUUUAAUUAGUGUGUUUUGUUUUUUAGUACUUUCUGCACUUUAAAUCACGUUUUUUAGUAAUAUUAAAUUACUUUACGUAAAAAUUUAAACUUUUUAGUUCGCGACCGACUGCGCCAAUAAGAAUACGUCCGUUCUUUUCAAAUGUAACUUUAUAAAUGAUGCAUAUUUACAAUUCUUAGAACUAAGAGUAGAUUACAAUGAGCUUAAAACUAGUGAGAGUAAACAUGUGUAUUGUUGUUGUUUACAGAGAAAGUCCUUAUUGGAAAGAUCAGUUUGCAAGUGAGUAAAUAACGAAAUGGAAGGAAUACAUAUGAGAGGAUAAAUAGUAGAGGUAAAGAAAGAUUGCAAUUAUAAAUGUAUGUUGUUAGUAGUAGGAGCAUUGGUAUAUGACUAUAUGUUUAAAAUGAUGUAUAUUAUAAAGACAUGAUAUAGCUUUCUCUAACUCUAACACCCUUCCAAUUCUUCGAUAACAAUUUCGGUGUCUUGUGAAUAUUCUAAAACUUCAUCGAAGCCAAGGUCUGCAGCCACACCAUGCUUCAGUCAAAGGAUCUCUCAAAACAAAAUAAAACAGUUCCUCUAUGCUAGUUAUAACACUCAAAUAUUUACAUAUUUGUUUUCAAACAUUGAUGUAAAACAAAACAAACACAGAUGUUUUUGUGUUGUGAUGGCUGCUUUCACACGUCACAGAUGUUUGAGGAAAUUGUGAGCAUUUCAGCUUUUGAAUUUUGCCCAGCAUAAGGUAAUCAUCACAAAAUUCAAAAACUUCACAAUAUUGAGUGUGGUGAUUUUUGUGAGGGCAUGAUAAUAGGGCUGUAAGUUGUAAAAUUUCCACAUAUCGUUCGAUUCGUUUGACUGUCAUUUUAUAUGACCGUGCGUUGCCAAAUAUGCCGGAUAUCAUACACAUAACUAUAUCGAUUAGUUAGAAAAUUGAUUCAAAAAACUCUCUCUUUGGUUUUUUCUCGACAGUUUAUCAAACAAUUAAUCACAUAUGCCCCUCCAUACCUAGAUCAUGUAUUCCGAAUUUUAUAACUUAAAUUGUAGCUUUGUUAUAUCCCUUAUUGUGUAACUACUUCUCAUAGUAUCAAGGUAUAAGUUUGAUCUAAGUUAUAUUAGGAUAUCCAGAUUAUAUUAUCGCUUGACCAAAUUGCCGACCGGACAGACGGAUGUUAAGCUGUGACCACGUCCACUUACCUAAUGUCUUAACUUAUAUUUUAUUUUUUGCAUUUGUCCGGUUUUGACUAUCUACAAUACAAUCUCAUAUCGAUAAUUGUAACGCGCAUGCAGUUUUAUUAAGAUAUCUGGAUUUCAAUUCAAAUUGUCGCUUGACUGAAUGGCCGCAUGGACAUUGUGACUAAAAUUUUAAAAUUUUUGAUACAGUGAAACUUCCAAAACUCGAUCUUUAGAAUUGGUAAUAGCGUUUAGAAAGCAAAUUUCAUACAAAUUUACUUCCAUAACUCAAACUUUCUUAACUCGAAGGUCUCCAUAACUCGAAUUCUUGAAUUGGUAAUAGAAACAAAUUGUAUACAAAUUUCAUUCCAUAAAUCGAACUUUAAGAAAGGCAUGAGAUACAGACGUCAAGAGCCAAGCAAUAGCAAAGUGCUGCAAACAAAAUUACAGAAAACAUGUUUUAAUGUAUUUACAUAAAACUUUUUGCGAAGUAAAUAACUAAAAAUGUGUAUAAAUCUAUGAUUUAUAAAAUUAUGUUUUAAUGAAAUUUCUAUAACUCGGAGUCAAUCUAACUCGAAGUUUUUUUGUGGAUUAUGGUGAUUCGAAUUAGAGAAGUUCCACUGUAUUUUAAAUAAAAUUAGCAACAUAUCAAGAAGUUUGAAAAGUACAUAUGUAUAUUAGCAGUAAAUACAGAGAAAUUGAAAUAAUCGCCAGCAUCCCUUCAAUCCCAAUGAAAAAAGCAAGCAUUCCAUUUGUUAAUUUCACAAGAACAAUUUUCGUAGAUGAAGAGAUCUUCAUGUACUCACAUGCAUUUCGCUAAAUGCAUGUAGCUAAACUGCAUUUCGCAGUAGCGGUAUUCGUCAAUGAAGUUUUGAGUAUUCUAAGAGAAGAGAAAAUCUUUGCCUACAAUUGUGCUUGUGCGCAGUAUCCAAAGAGAAGUUACUAAUGUAUAACAUUUCUCUUUUGCAAGCUCUUAGCUACAUAUAAAACACAUAUCUACAUAUGUAUUCUGAGAUAUGCAAUCUACAUACAUAUGUAUUCUGAGCUAUGCAUUCAAACACCAUGGCAUUCGUUCACUAAGCUACUUAGUGCAUUUGUGAGAUGUGACACUUCGCGCGUCUCAUUUAUAUAACUGUGCUAUCUUUUCAAUUUUUAAAAUUCGUAAUUUCAACUUAACGGUUGUUUGCCGUUAAGUAAAAACCAUAAAGUGUUAUAAUUAGGCCACAAAUUAAAUUAUUUCUAAACAAAAUUUAGAAACCAAUUGCAGCAGUUACAUAUGUAUGCAUAUCACCAAAUUCGUUUAUAUGCAAGAUGUUCUAAACAUUUUAUUAAUUAUCUCUAUGAAUAACUGAUCCGAAUUUCUAGAUAUGAUUCGAAUAUUCAACUAAUUGUCGAUGGUACAUCCGUAUACAUUUCUUUACUUACAAUAUUUAAUCGCACGCUGAUAUAUUUUUAUAAAUAAUCAAUAGAUACGAUAUAUAGAACCAGAGGUGUGAAUUAUAUAUAAACUUAAUAUUUAUCUAGUACAUAGGGUAAAGAUUUCACCAUACUGAGAUAUACUCUCGCAACAUGUUGCAAAGAUAGUAAUAUAAUUUUGUUCACAAAACGGUUGUUUGACUGAACUGAAAAUACAUACACUGACUCACAUUGUAAAUGGGACACCCCAAAAAUAUUAUUUUUUUAAACUUUGAAUAUAAAUGGAAAACAAAGUAUGCAAGUUUUUUCUAUAAUUCUUUUUUAUUUCAAAUAAGACAUCUAUUUUUAUUGAAAUGGAGAAAAAACAACCAAAGAUUAUGCUUUAACAACAACAAAAAGAACAUAUGUAUGUAUUUAUGUACAUACAUUUAUUGCGCGUUCAAGCAACUCACACUUGAAAUGAUACAGUUUAGCGUCGCGCCAUAGUACCGUUAUUUUGUCGUAAAACUGAACUAUAAAGUGCUGAACACAAAGACGACGACACGACACGACGUAGCGACGGCUGAUCACAAAUGUCGCUUUGAAGCCAGCGUCUUGAAAAUUUUGAAACAGCAAUUUCAUUGUUGCCGUACUUUCACUUCAAUAAAAUUUACAUAUUUAGAUUGAAGUGAAAUUAUUUGUGCAAAAAAUGUAAAAAUUGGCGAUUUAUUUGUUUUAAAUAAUCGAUUGUUAUUAUAAAUGUUAUAUCAAAGCUAUUUUACGUUUCUGCUGGCAAAAUUACGUCAUAUUUGUUAUGACUUUUAACUUUACAGCUGCCCAUUGUCGUCGCCAAAAUUAGAAACAUUUUUAAUUUAGCGACAACGAAAACUACAAGACUGUUGUCGCGUAGUCGUGCUGUUGUCAAAAAAUCUGUGCCCAUAAGAACCCGUGUGUUUUAAUAUUUGACAGAUGUCGCUCGUCGUUUGUCGUCUUCUAUGUGUUCAGCACAUAAGUGAUAAUGCUUUUAGUAGUUUCUUAGCUGGCAACAGAAUAAGAUUAUCAGUGACUAAAAGUAAAAAAAUGCCUCGCACUACGAUAGCAAAAAGGAAAAUUAUUGUUAAUAAUUACAAAAACAAUAAAUCUAUAAGGAAAAUCGCUGAAAUUGUAGGCAAAAAUAAAUCUACUGUAUUUAACAUUAUUCAGGGCUUUAAAAAACCCGUACAUUAUAUAAUAAAGUACCUGACCGAUGUACAAAACCCGUACAUUAUAUAAUAAAGUACCUGACCGAUGUACAAAACGAAAAAUUGACGACGGUUUUUGUUGCGUAUAAUUAAAAAUAACCCAUAUACAUAUGUCUGUUGUAGAGUUACAAAAACAGCUAAACGAAGAAAAGAAAGUUGAAGUAAGUGCAGAAACGGUUCGUAGAUUGCUUAAACAAAAUAAACUUAUCGCCAGAAUACCUCGUCGAAAACCACUGAUAUCACCAAAAAACCAAAAAGAAAGAAUGGAAUUUGCUCUGAGAUAUCAAUAUAAGGACUAUUAUUUUUGACGUAAGGUAAAUAAUUUUUAAAGCUUGAUUAAUGAAAUUUUGUGUGAAUUUCAAUUAUUUUAGGUUCUUUUCACUUACGAAACCAAAAUUAACAUCUUUGGAUCGGACGGCAAACGUUUCGUAUGGAGAAUGUCCGGUAAAUAAUUGGACGACAAAAACAUAAAAAUACAGUGAGGUUCGGGAGUGGGUCACUGAUGAUUUGGAGUUGUAUGUCGGGGGAUGGAGUCGGAAAACUGCAUUUUGUAGACGAAAUGUUAGAUGGUAAAGGAUAUAUAGACAUUUUGAAAGCAAAUGUUCAGCGCGAAACAACUUGGUAUUCGUGAUUGUUUUAUGUUUUACCAAGACAACGACCCAAAACAUAAAUCCUGGAAUGCUAGAAAUUGGUUGCUCUAUAAUUGCCCAAGAGUACUUUCUACACCUGCUCAAACCCCCACAUUAAUCCCAUAGAGCAUUUAUGGGCAGAACUUAAAAGAAGACUGUCUAAAAGAAAAAUUAAAACAAAAUCAGAGUUAAGGAAAGCAGUGAAAGAAGAAUAGAGCCAAAAAUUGUGGAAAGUAUGCCACGUCGGCUCCAUGAGAUCUUAAAUAAGAAAGGAAAAUCUACAAGAUAUUGAACUCCAGCAAACUUAUUUUUUUCUUCACUCUACAAACUGUUCCAUUUCAAGUGUGAGUUGCAUUGGACGCGCAAUAAAUGUAAAUAUGUUCUUUUUGUUGUUGUUAUAGCAAAACCUCUGGUUGUUUUUUUAUUUUCAAUAAAAAAUAGAUGUCUUAUUUAAAAUAAAAAAGAAUUUUUGAAAAAAGUUGCGUACUUUGUUAUACUCUCGCAACCUGUUGCACAGAGUAUAAUAGUUUUGUUCACAUAACGGUUGUUUGUGUCACCAAGAAAUAUAAGAGUUAGAUAUGGGGUUAUAUAUACAUAAAUGAUCAGGAUGACGAGUGGAUUUGAAAUCCGGAUGUCUGUCCGUCUGUCCGUCUGUCCGUGCAAGCGAUAACUUGAGUAAAAAUUAAGAUAUCUUAAUGAAACUUGGAACACAUGUUCCUUGGCACUCUGAGGAGGUUGCUUUCGAAAAUGGGCCCACAAAAUGGCAGAAACCGAAAACCUAUACAGUGUCAUAACUAAGCCAAAAAUAAAGUUAUGAAAAUGAAAUUUUGAACAUAGGAUCCCAUUAGGGAGGGGCACAUUUGGAUGUAAUUUUUUUGGGGAGGUGGGCGUGGUCCCGUCCUCAAAUUGGUUUUUGGUACAUAUCUCGGAAACCAAUAGAGCUAUAUAAACCAGACUUUCUGCAGUCGUUCUGUUUAGCCACUUCUUAGUACAGUAUAAAAAUGAAAGAAAUCGGAUAAUAACCACGCCCACCUCCCAUACAAAGGUUAGGUUGAAAAUUACUAAAAGUGGGUUAACUCACUAACGAAAAACAUGAGAAAUACUAAAUUUCACAUAAGAAAUGGCAGAUGGAAGCUGCACUCAGAUUUUUUUACAAAAUGGAAAAUGGGCGUGGCGUCGCCCACUUAUGGAUCAAAAACCAUAUCUCAGGAACUACUCGACCGAUUUCAAUGAAACUUGGUUUGUAAUAGUUUCCUUACAUCUCAAUGAUAGGUUGUGAAAAUAGGCCAAAUCGGUUCACAACCACGCCUACUUCCUAUAUACCUGAAC
Molecule: long non-coding RNA, 11049 nt
Organism: Zeugodacus cucurbitae (melon fly)
Lineage: Eukaryota; Metazoa; Arthropoda; Insecta; Diptera; Tephritidae
Exons: 3
Source: RefSeq, a predicted model, not a curated record